Small RNA from Cyanobium sp. PCC 7001, 72 nucleotides. It matches the Rfam family "Cyano-1 RNA". Lineage: Bacteria; Bacillati; Cyanobacteriota; Cyanophyceae; Synechococcales; Prochlorococcaceae. The record is from Rfam.
UGGGGUGUGAGGAGUGCGGAACGUCUCUUCAGGGUCGAAACGAGGACAGACUCCCGAAGAUCGUUCCAACGU